AGGCAGGCCCAGAGAGAACCAGAGAUGUGGGAACGGUGUAUUUUCAAGAAGGAAGCAGUUUCUUUUCAAUGCAGGAGAUUAUUUCCUAAACUGCUUAUUUAAAAGAGACAGAGAUGAGAGAGAGAAAAAGAGAGAAUCUCCUCUACCCAUCUUGUUGUGGUUAUAAAGAAUAUAAUUUUGCCUUUGUCUGAAAACCACCAUAUUAUUGUGGUUAUUAAACAACACGGUUUCCCUUCUUGGUGUCAGGCAAGGAGAGGAGCGAGGAGAGAGAGGAUGAAUGGAAAAUUCAUUUUCAAAUAAUAUAAAUUAAAAAUAAGUGUAUUAUUAGAAACUAAACCUGGCUGAUAAAGGCAGGAGAUGAGACACUGCAGUAAGAGAGAGAAAAGGAGGAAAAACAUAGAAAAUGGUUUGAUCAUCUAAAGAAUCUGCACAGAUUAAUCUGUGCAGAAUAAUCAGGAAAAACAAGUUGAGAGGGUGGCAACUGCUAUUUCCUACACAGUAGCUCCCCUACCUUAGGAAAAAAUGGGGAGGCAGCGACCUGUUGGGGUUGUAGUUUUACACUUUGAUUUUAGCAACAAGUAUCAAAAGAUCUAAACUAAUUGAUUGUCGAGUUACUUGGCCCUUCUCCAAAGAGCAAUAUAGAUUUAAUUGUAUGUUGCUUAAAACUCCAUUUCUGAACAGUGUGAAGCAUGUAAUAAAAGUCAUACACCGUAUCGGAGAUCCCCCCCCCCCCCCCCCGACCAAGCAUAAAUACCCAACUGACACUUGGAAAUCUUAGCUAAUACUCCUAAGGGGUUAAAAAAAAAAAGGCAUCUGAGAGGGGUAGCCACAUAAUAAAAUCUAAACUGUUAAUCCAUUUUAACUCAUUCAAAAAGAACCUGCGGUUGCGGGCAGGUUGUUUGGCAGAAGAGGGGUUGGGGUAAGGAGACCCCACAUCAGACAUCUGACUUGUUCAAACACGGUGCAUCUAAGCCACAUUCCCCUAAAGGAAAGCGAGUUCUGGCCUUCCAAAAGACACCAGAAAAAUCUCUACCCGGGAAACGGAGCUGAAAGUUGCAGCCGAACUGCCUGGCCCGAGCUCUCCUCUCUCUCUCAGCGAGAGGCUGGGAAGCCACUCUGUGGCCGUCUCUCUCUCCACCGGCCUCAGCCCGGCUUCCCCCGAGGGAGAGAGAGGGGGCUGCAG
This 1183-nucleotide long non-coding RNA is filed under the name Equus caballus (horse). RNAcentral's name for it is "lncRNA (ENSECAG00000051258.1)". The record is from RNAcentral. Lineage: Eukaryota; Metazoa; Chordata; Mammalia; Perissodactyla; Equidae.